GGCGGGGUAGCUCAGCCUGGUAGAGCGCUAGACUCAUGAUCUAGAGAUCGCGAGUUCAAAUCUCGCCCCCGUCA
This 74-nucleotide transfer RNA is filed under the name Microcaldota archaeon. Its description in RNAcentral is "tRNA-Met". It matches the Rfam family "tRNA". Rfam says of the family: Transfer RNA (tRNA) molecules are approximately 80 nucleotides in length. Their secondary structure includes four short double-helical elements and three loops (D, anti-codon, and T loops). Lineage: Archaea; Nanobdellati; Microcaldota. RNAcentral also lists the same sequence under 1 other name. The record is from RNAcentral.